AAAGGGUUAGUUAAACCAUAACAUUAAACUGUCAAAUUAAAGUUACCACGGGUAUCCUUUA
Molecule: transfer RNA, 61 nt
Filed under: Eulimnogammarus vittatus
Lineage: Eukaryota; Metazoa; Arthropoda; Malacostraca; Amphipoda; Eulimnogammaridae
Description: tRNA-Asp
Source: RNAcentral